Molecule: long non-coding RNA, 169 nt
Organism: Ceratosolen solmsi marchali
Lineage: Eukaryota; Metazoa; Arthropoda; Insecta; Hymenoptera; Agaonidae
Exons: 4
Source: RefSeq, a predicted model, not a curated record
UGGAAAGGAAAGACAAUUGCAAAUAUUCAUGCAUUAAAAAGUUUUCAAAAUCAACUUUGUAUGAAUCGAAACUGAGAUGUCGUCAAGGUUGUAAUGCUAUAAUGAAAGUAUGCAGGGAAGGUUGUUUAACUGCUUGUGCUGAUAUGUUUAAACCAUUAAUACUUUUACC